UGACACAGGAAUGUGAAAUGAUCAUCUUUUCUGUUUUAUUUUAGUCUCCGUUGUUUACAUAUACAAAGAGAUUAGAGAUCAGAGAUCAAGCAAAAUGAAAAGAAAUAAGUCGUUCUCAACCUGCAUCCUUUCCACUUCACUGGAUUUUCAUUUGCAUUUAUGAAAGAUAUGAAAGCAAAAAAAAAAGUUUUCAGGUGUCUGCCGAAGACAAUAAAUAUUGGCACCCCCAUGGGAAUAACAGCACAGCACUGAAAUAGAGGUUGUCCACAUGGAAUCGGCAUCUUAUCUUUGAAUGUCCGAAAUCUUCACGAAGCGGAAUCCACCUGGAGCUGGAGCCUCAGGAACCUCGCCGGGUUGGCCUCUUCUUACUAAAGAUGUGCACAGACUAUCUAUUAAUUUAAUCCAUCGACUAGAGCAUUACAACCCCACCUACAGGACGAGAGAUCACUGUUCCCCACCUACAGCACAUACAGUACUUAAAGCACCUAAAGUACCUACAGCACCUAAAAUACCUAAAGUAUCUAAAGUACUUACAGCAUCUACAGCACCUAAAGUACUUACAGUAUCUACAGUACCUACAGGACCUCUACAGUAUCUACAGCACUUACAGUAUCUACAGCACUUAAUGUACCUACAGUAUCUACAGGACCUCUACAGUACCUACAGCACCUAAAGUACCUACAGGACCUCUACAGUACCUACAGCACCUAAAGUACCUACAGGACCUCUACAGUACCUACAGCACCUAAAGUACCUACAGGACCUCUACAGUACCUACAGCACCUAUAGUACAUACAGUAUCUAUAGCACUUAAUGUACCUACAGGACCUCUACAGUACAUACAGUAUCUACAGCACUUAAUGUACCUACAGGACCUCUACAGUACAUAUAGUAUCUACAGCACUUAAUGUACCUACAGCACCUCUACAGUACCUACAGCACCUACAGUAUCUACAGCACUUAAUGUACCUACAGGACCACUACAGUACCUACAGUAUCUACAGCACUUAAUGUACCUACAGGACCACUACAGUACCUACAGUAUCUACAGCACUUAAUGUACCUACAGGACCUCUACAGUACCUACAGCACCUACAGUAUCUACAGCACUUAAUGUACCUACAGGAUCUCUACAGUACCUACAGCACCUACAGUAUCUACAGCACUUAAUGUACCUACAGGACCUCUACAGUACCUACAGCACCUACAGUAUCUACAGCACUUAAUGUACCUACAGGAUCUCUACAGUACCUACAGCACCUAAGGUAUCUACAGCACUUAAUGUUCCUACAGGAUCUCUACAGUACCUACAGCACCUACAGUAUCUACAGCACUUAAUGUACCUACAGGAUCUCUACAGUACCUACAGCACCUACAGUAUCUACAGCACUUAAUGUACAUAAAGAACCUACAGGACCUCUACAGUACCUACAGCACAGGGAAACUAUGCAUGAAGAAUAUAUAAUGUAACCUGAUAUUAUGUAAGUGGCGUCUUGUGUAUAUUGCACCUGGUGAUUAAAAAUAAUAAUAAUGAAGAAUACAUUAAUAAAAAUCUAAUAUAAUAAUUAAUAAAAUGGUCUGAAUAUCCAGGUGAAUACAGCACAUUACAGGUUUCCAGAUUCUUCCAGGUUUCCAGGUUACUUCUUUAUUUAUUCUUUGUGAAAUACGUAAAUACAGCCGAAUGACGCAAUCUGCCUGGGUGUGCCGGUAGUGAGUGGGUUAAUGUUGCGUGUUGGGCUAACAGAAUACAGUAAAUCACUAAACCUGAUGGCCUCUGACCCCAUUCUAUUGUGGUGUAUUUAUACUUGAAGGAAUUCCAGCACUUCCUUCGACCCAAAUAUGGUCAUUUCCCCUGGAGUCCUGUACUUGAAGUUCUAUAAACUCCCUCUCUUAAAGGUACAGGCCACAUCCUGUUGGAUAUCUCACACGCACACACACUCACAAGUUCCACUAGUGUAAUAAUCAAAUAAUAGCUUUCCUUUUAAGCCUUUGCUGUAAUGUACUUAUUCAUUGAGUGUUUAUUACAUUAAGAAGCUCAUGCCUACAGAUUUGAGAGUUUUCUCCGUCCAACACUUACUGUAAAAUCUGCACUCGUUUAAAAUCUGUCAAUUUUCUUAAUGAUGACAGUAAUAGCAUGAACAAAUCCUACAUCUCUCACUCCAUCAACUCCUUCAAUUUCACCU
Molecule: long non-coding RNA, 2183 nt
Organism: Hemibagrus wyckioides
Lineage: Eukaryota; Metazoa; Chordata; Actinopteri; Siluriformes; Bagridae
Exons: 3
Source: RefSeq, a predicted model, not a curated record